RNAcentral lists this ribosomal RNA (343 nucleotides) under uncultured Sphingobacteriales bacterium. Its description in RNAcentral is "bacterial SSU rRNA". It matches the Rfam family "Bacterial small subunit ribosomal RNA", at positions 1040 to 1382 of the family's 1533-position model. The record is from RNAcentral. Lineage: Bacteria; Pseudomonadati; Bacteroidota; Sphingobacteriia; Sphingobacteriales.
GCUGCAUGGUUGUCGUCAGCUCGUGCCGUGAGGUGUCGGGUUAAGUCCCAUAACGAGCGCAACCCUUACUGUUAGUUGCCAGCGGGUAAUGCCGGGAACUCUAGCGGGACUGCCACCGUAAGGUGAGAGGAAGGUGGGGAUGACGUCAAAUCAGCACGGCCCUUAUGUCCAGGGCUACACACGUGUUACAGUGGCCGGUACAAAGGGCAGCUACACCGCGAGGUGAUGCUAAUCUCGAAAGCCGGUCUCAGUUCGGAUCGAAGUCUGCAACCCGACUUCGUGAAGUUGGAUUCGCUAGUAAUCGCGCAUCAGCCAUGGCGCGGUGAAUACGUUCCCGGGCCUU